GAUGAAGAACGUAGCGAAAUGCGAUAAGUAAUGUGAAUUGCAGAAUUCAGUGAAUCAUCGAAUCUUUGAACGCACAUUGCGCCCGCCAGUAUUCUGGCGGGCAUGUCUGUUCGAGCGUCAUUUCAACCGUCAGGCCCCCAGUGCCUGGUGUUGGGGAUCGGCAGCAGGGCGUCAAGCCCGCCGGCCCCGAAAUCUAGUGGCGGUCUCGCUGUAGUCCUCCUCUGCGUAGUAGCACAACCUCGCAGUUGGAACGCGGCGGUGGCCAUGCCGUUAAACACCCCACUUCUGAAAGUUGACCUCGGAUCAGGUAGGAAUACCCGCUGAACUUAAGCAUAUCAAUAAGCGGAGGA
Molecule: unclassified non-coding RNA, 350 nt
Filed under: soil metagenome
Description: partial contains 5.8S ribosomal RNA, internal transcribed spacer 2, and large subunit ribosomal RNA
Rfam family: 5.8S ribosomal RNA (bases 1-120)
Source: RNAcentral